UACGUAGGGGGCAAGCGUUAUCCGGAUUCACUGGGUGUAAAGGGAGCGUAGACGGCCAUGCAAGCCAGGAGUGAAAGCCCGGGGCCCAACCCCGGGACUGCUCUUGGAACUGCGUGGCUGGAGUGCAGGAGGGGCAGGCGGAAUUCCUGGUGUAGCGGUGAAAUGCGUAGAUAUCAGGAGGAACACCGGUGGCGAAGGCGGCCUGCUGGACUGCAACUGACGUUGAGGCCCGAAAGCGUGGGGAGCAAACAGG
Molecule: ribosomal RNA, 253 nt
Filed under: uncultured bacterium
Lineage: Bacteria
Description: partial 16S ribosomal RNA
Rfam family: Bacterial small subunit ribosomal RNA
Source: RNAcentral